CUUCCGCCGCGCGGGGGUUGGCGGGAAGGAGGAGGAGGUGGCGGGGGAAGAUGGUGGCGACGCUGCGGAUCCAGAGCGACUGGAACCAGGCCCUGAGGAGGGAUGAGGGCGAGGCCUGGCUGAGCUGCCGGAGCCCCGGGAAGCCCACCCUGUACGGCCGCCUGACCCGCCGCGGGCUCAGCCCCCAAGGGCUCCCUGACAUCACUGCCUCGGAGGGCUUCGUGGUGGGAGAGGUCACCAAGAAGAGCAUUCUCAUUUCUUGUCCUUACGAAAAUGUGUCCACCAAGUUCCUGGCCCCUUACACAACUUUUUGCAGAAUUCAUCAGAAAAGUGUUACCUGCCUUGAUAUUUCUAGUGGUGGAGGGCUUGGGGUGUCCACCAGCACAGAUGGGACCAUGAAAAUCUGGCAAGCUGCAAAUGGAGAAGUAAGGAGGCUGUUGGAAGGCCAUGUGUAUGAUGUGAAUUGUUGCAGGUUUUUCCCUUCGGGCCUCGUGGUUCUGAGUGGGGGAAUGGAUGCCCAGCUAAAGGUCUGGUCAGCAGAAGAUGCCAGCUGUGUAGUAACAUUUAAAGGUCACAAAGGAGGUAUUUUGGACACUGCCAUUGUGGAUCGGGGAAGAAAUGUCCUUUCCUGCUCCAGGGAUGGCACAGCACGGCUCUGGGACUGUGGGACAUCCUCCUGUCUGGGUGUCCUUGCUGACUGUGGCUCUCCUGUCAAUGGCAUUGCUGUGGGCACUGCUGACAACUCCCUCAACCUGGGCACACCUGAAGAAGCUCCCAGUGAACGUGAGAUUGGGACAGAAGGGAAGAUCCUGCUGCUGGCUCGGGAGGACAAGAAGCUCCAAGGAGUGGGACUGCAGAGCAGGCAGCAGGUGUUCCUGUUCCUCGGGUCCGACGCGUUCAACUGCUGCACAUUCCUCUCAAGCACCUACAUCCUGGCUGGGACUCAGGAUGGGAACAUCUACCAGCUGGAUGUGAGAAACACAAACACUCCCAUCCAGACCAUCCACAGAUCAGGAGCUCCAGUGCUUUCCCUGCUCCCCUACCGAGAUGGAUUUGUUGCCAGCCAAGGUGAUGGAACCUGCUUCAUCAUUCAGCAAGACCUCGAUUAUGUCCUGGAUCUCACAGAAGCUGACUGUGACCCUGUGUACAAGGUGGCUUCUUGGGAGAAGGAGAUUUACACGUGCUGCCGAGACGGGAUCGUCAGGAGGUACCAACUGUCCGACCUCUGAGUGCUUGGGCCAGCCAAGGAGUGCAGACAAAGCGUCGAAACACCUUUCCCAAGCUCGUUUUCCCUGCACAGCACCCUUGAGGAGGCGUGGAGAGACAUUUCUGAGGCUGUUGAGGAGUUUCUGAGGCUGUUGAGGAGCUCCUGAGGCUGCCGAGGUCGCCGGGCUCUGCGCAGAGGGGGAUUUUGGUGACUGGUGGGGACCUCUCUUAACAACCCACACAACUCCGACCCCUUGGUAAUUUGGAGGAUCUCGUGUGGCAACGAUUGUUGUGUUGCUACCGGAGGCUGGCCUUGAGGUACCACCCGCUAAAAUGCAAGGAGCCUUGGGCGCCCAAGAGGUUCAGGCAGCUGGCAGAGGCCUAC
Apus apus (common swift) is the source of this 1591-nucleotide RNA transcript. It is a transcript of the gene named proteasomal ATPase associated factor 1, with no coding region annotated. The transcript is spliced from 13 exons. Lineage: Eukaryota; Metazoa; Chordata; Aves; Apodiformes; Apodidae. The record is from RefSeq and is a predicted model, not a curated record.